Molecule: long non-coding RNA, 981 nt
Organism: Hirundo rustica (Barn swallow)
Lineage: Eukaryota; Metazoa; Chordata; Aves; Passeriformes; Hirundinidae
Exons: 3
Source: RefSeq, a predicted model, not a curated record
GGCUGUUUGUGGGCAGAGCAGCUACCGAGACAAGGGGCCUCGGGUGUGUUUUCACGUGUUGUAACCUCAGCCUUUGCUGUCUCGUUUAAACCUCUGCUUUUGGAUCUUCAGAGAAACCUUUGCAGUGCAGUCCGAUGCCACUAACGUCACAAAUGUGGAGACAGCAGGAAUGGCAGCAAUGUGGGACUUUUCCUCUACAAUACACUGCAGUCCCCUUCCAGUUGGGCUGGUUUGCAGGAAUCAGGGAAGAGAGACAUAAACUAUGCAUAACAGUGGGAGAAGUGAGAGAAACUAAGCUGCAUCCUUCAAGACUAGAGAUGGAGAGGAGGAAGUUUGAGCCUUCUCGGUGAACUUAAGCUUUCCCUGCCACAGGGGAACCAGGGGAAAAAUAAUAGGAAAAUCAGCAGAUAACUUACAACUUAACUUGCCACAUAUUUUGCCAGCAGUUUUCAUUGCAGUAGCUGCUGUGGUAUGUAACCCAUAAGCGUUUUUCAGGAGAAUAGAGUUCCCCAGUUCCUUCCAAUGAUUUCACCUGGUAGGUGCUGUCCUUGACAUCCGCCCCACAAAAUGAUUCCUGCCAUCCAGGCCAAACUUUUCAGCUUGGCCGUUUGGAGCAGCAGGAGAGUUCCCAUUGAGGAUGGGAUGAAUGGAGUCGGUUCACACAUGUGAACCAAAUGCAAAUCCUUCGGUGGAAACUCAUGGUCAGCUUUUUCCACUGCUAUUUUCAGAACUUCCACAAAAGACCGUGCUGUGAUUAUAUGUAUUCAUGAUAUGUAUAUCAUGUAUUCAGCUCAAACAAUAUUUGAAUGAUGCAUUUAGAAUUCUUCCUAAAAAAGGACCAUGCUUCUGUAAACUGCAUCGUAUUUGUAAAAAGAGAGGAAAAAAAUCUAGCUUGCUUUUCCUUUUUUCCUCUCUUUCUUUUUAAUAUAUCAUUUCAUAAGGCUGUAAGAAUUGGUGUUAAUGCCGCAUUACACACAGACA